UCGUCUUUUCCUCCGCUACUCCUAGAACAGCGCUGCCCCUCCCAUGCCUCUCCGAUCCAAGGUCGCGGCCGUGAAAUAUAGGGCGCGAGUUCACUCCCCAAUGGUCUAUACUUCCUUUCUCAACGAUCUAGUCACUCCCCAUGAACUAGAGUUGGAGAGACCGAGAUGGUACGUGUUCUUCUUUCUCGUAAUCUCGUUACUCAAUUCAAAGAUUAACGAUUAACUGGUAAAUAGCCCUGAUCUCCGGCACUCACGAUUCCACAUCGCACAUCGAUCACAUCUGCAUAGGUCUUCAUCUGCUCUUCAUUAAAUCCAUAUGUGAGAGAGGACUCGGGCAGGAGAUUAGGAGAAAGGGGAAAUUUUAUUCACUCCAUGGCCUCAUCUUCUUGUUCGUGCUGACUCUGGUUGCUGCAGCCUCUGGAUCAAGCCAUUUACAUCCACGUCAAUCUGUUUCCAGGUGCUCUUAUUCCCUCUAUUAAUAAUUUUUAUGCAGCUUGUUCAGUGACAUGUCGCAGGAAAGUAUUUGUCUGGUAGUGAUAAAAGGAAGAGAGAAAAAAGAAUAGAGAAAUUGUAAGAAUCCCAGAAGGAUCAAUUGCUAAUUUUUCAAAACUAGUAAUUCUUCUAGGGAUUCUGUGCAAUUGGCCAUAGCAAAUGUCGAAGCACAAACAACUGACAACAUUGAUGGUGCUGAUGAUGGUAUGAACAAGGGUGAUAAUAAUUCAAGUAAGCAAGAAAACCUUGCUCAUCACCAAACUCAGAAAUGUCGUGUGUCGAUGAACAACAAUCAUUUACUGUUGAUAAUUUUUUUUACAAGAAACUGGGACAGUCUGCUGGAUGAUAAUGCUAGGGAUAUUUUAGUUGACAAGGGCUCCGCGUUCCGUUCCAGGAAGAAUGUAAGUUCAUGCAUUAACUUUAUAUCGCAUGGUAACACAAUUUUUUAUCGUAGCAACCAGUUCAGACAAGGUUAUUUAUUUUGCAAAAAGUAAAUGAUAUGUCCAUUGUAACAAUUAGGAAAUCAAUCUGUUCUGGAGCUGUUACAUCAAUCUAUACAAUGUACUGGAUAGUUACAUUGCUUUUGAAAUAUAUACAAAAUUGAGCUUUUGUGUGUCAAGAAGGGCCCCGUGUUCUUGUCUUGCCCCUGGGCCCCGUAUAUCUGUGGG
RNAcentral lists this long non-coding RNA (1160 nucleotides) under Triticum aestivum (bread wheat). RNAcentral describes it as "long non-coding RNA (TAES_LNC011685)". Lineage: Eukaryota; Viridiplantae; Streptophyta; Magnoliopsida; Poales; Poaceae. The record is from RNAcentral.